CAUGCAAGUCGAGCGGAACGAUCCUAGCUUGCUAGGAGGCGUCGAACGGCGGACGGGUGAGUAACGCGUGAGAAUCUGCCCAUUUGUGGGGGAUAACUCGGGGAAACUCGAGCUAAUACCGCAUAAUCCCUACGGGGGAAAGCAGGGGACCUUCGGGCCUUGUGCAGAUGGAUGAGCUCGCGUCGGAUUAGCUUGUUGGUGAGGUAAAAGCUCACCAAGGCGACGAUCCGUAGCUGGUCUGAGAGGAUGAUCAGCCACACCGGGACUGAGACACGGCCCGGACUCCUACGGGAGGCAGCAGUGGGGAAUCUUGGACAAUGGGGGCAACCCUGAUCCAGCCAUGCCGCGUGUGUGAAGAAGGCCUUCGGGUUGUAAAGCACUUUCAGUAGGGAGGAAGGCUUACCGCUAAUAAUGGUGAGUACUUGACGUUACCUACAGAAGAAGCACCGGCUAAUUUCGUGCCAGCAGCCGCGGUAAUACGAAAGGUGCGAGCGUUAAUCGGAAUUACUGGGCGUAAAGCGCGCGUAGGCGGUUUGUUAAGUCAGAUGUGAAAGCCCCGGGCUCAACCUGGGAAUUGCAUUUGAAACUGGCAGGCUAGAAUGCAGUAGAGGGAGGUGGAAUUUCCGGUGUAGCGGUGAAAUGCGUAGAGAUCGGAAGGAACACCAGUGGCGAAGGCGGCCUCCUGGACUGACAUUGACGCUGAGGUGCGAAAGCGUGGGGAGCAAACAGGAUUAGAUACCCUGGUAGUCCACGCCGUAAACGAUGUCUACUAGUCGUUGGGAAUCUUAGUAUUCUUGGUGACGAAGUUAACGCGAUAAGUAGACCGCCUGGGGAGUACGGCCGCAAGGUUAAAACUCAAAUGAAUUGACGGGGGCCCGCACAAGUGGUGGAGCAUGUGGUUUAAUUCGAUGCAACGCGAAAACCUUACCAACCCUUGAAAUCUAGCGAAGUUCACAGAGAUGAGAUGUGCCUUCGGGUCCGCUAUGACAGGUGUGCAUGCUGUCGUCAGCUCGUGUCGUGAGAUGUAUGGUAGUCCAGUACGAGCGCAACCCUAUCCUUAUUGGCAGCGCGUUAAGCGG
RNAcentral lists this ribosomal RNA (1079 nucleotides) under uncultured Gammaproteobacteria bacterium. Its description in RNAcentral is "bacterial SSU rRNA". It matches the Rfam family "Bacterial small subunit ribosomal RNA", at positions 54 to 1134 of the family's 1533-position model. Lineage: Bacteria; Pseudomonadati; Pseudomonadota; Gammaproteobacteria. The record is from RNAcentral.